AUUGAACGCUGGCGGCAUGCUUUACACAUGCAAGUCGAACGGUAACAGGCCUUCGGGUGCUGACGAGUGGCGAACGGGUGAGUAAUGCAUCGGAACGUACCCAGAGGUGGGGGAUAACGCAGCGAAAGCUGUGCUAAUACCGCAUGUGAUCUGAGGAUGAAAGCGGGGGACCGAGCAGCAAUGUUUGGCCUCGCGCCUUUGGAGCGGCCGAUGUCGGAUUAGCUAGUUGGUGGGGUAAAGGCCUACCAAGGCGACGAUCCGUAGCUGGUCUGAGAGGACGGCCAGCCACACUGGGACUGAGACACGGCCCAGACUCCUACAGGAGGCAGCAGUGGGGAAUUUUGGACAAUGGGCGCAAGCCUGAUCCAGCAAUACCGCGUGCGGGAAGAAGGCCUUCGGGUUGUAAACCGCUUUUGGCAUGAACGAAACGGUGUCCGCUAAUACCGGGCGCUAAUGACGGUACCUGCAGAAUAAGCACCGGCUAACUACGUG
Molecule: ribosomal RNA, 492 nt
Filed under: uncultured bacterium
Lineage: Bacteria
Description: partial 16S ribosomal RNA
Rfam family: Bacterial small subunit ribosomal RNA
Source: RNAcentral